GAUGUGCUAUUAUAUAAAAAGGGUACAUCUCAUUAUCCACUGGACAAUAAGAGGUGCCCAAUUUCAUUAUAAAUAGGAGUGAUGGAAAGACAUUUUCACACACACAUUUUUAUUCUUCCUCUCUCUCAAAAAAUUCACACAUAUUUUUCACCUUUUUCUCCCCUUUCUUAAACACAAAAUUUGUUCAUCUAUUUCUUUUUCUCAAAAAUACAUACAUAUACUCAAAAUAAAUACUUUGGCCAAUGAAAUUAUCUCUCCGUCUGAAUAUUUGAGGUCACCCCAAUACAAAAGACAGAUCUUUACUUUUCAAAUUAUUUAUUUUAUAUAAAUAGACACACGACCGAUGAAAUUAUCUCUCCGUCAGAUACUUGAGGUUACUCCAUUACUAAUGACGGACUUUAUUUUCAAAAUGUUACUAUUUUAUAUUAAACUAAAUACUGGGCCGAUGAAGAAAUUUUCGUCGAUUUUCGAGGCCUCCGUAAAUAAAAGACGGAUAUUACGUAUACAAAUACGUAACAAAAAUAAAUAAAUUCGAGCGAUGAUGAAAUCUUUACAAUUUCAUUGCAACACAAAAGGUUUUGUGAUUCGUAUCUUGGCAAGGGGAUUUAGGAUGACCAAUUAAUCGAGCAACCACUUCAUAGCCAUGGCGUAUCUAAAAUUUAAUCCGAGCCCACACUUUGAUAAAACAUUUCUAUUUUUAUGUAUAUAUGCACACAUAGUUUCUAGUUUAUUUUACUUUGUUACUAACAUGUUUGUACAGGGGUUUCGAGAUUGUUUGUCGGAAAAUGACAUUCAGAAGAAGAAUCUUUUAUUUAUAUUAUUUUCUUACAUAUCAAAUAUAGUGAAAACUUUACCUUUUGGGGUGUUGGGCGGGAGUAUUCUUUAUCUACAUAAUACGCGUUUAGGCAAAACUUAGGCCUUUAAUAUUUAGAAAAAAGAAUUAAGUUAAUCAAGUAAUUCACAUAUUAUGUAGUUUUUUCUUCUCAAAUAAAUCUUUACUUUUCUCUGUAACGUUAAUCAAGUAAAAAUAUUAUUUGUAAAUACUUUUCCUUUUCAUGGCACAUCAAAAUACAUUUCUUUUCAUAUGUCACAAAAUACUUUUUUUUUUCACAUGUAAUUUAUACAUUGUUAUACAUAUCUUUUACAUGUUUUUAUAACAAUAGAUUUUAUUUGUAUAUUUAAUAUACAUAUAUUUUUACAUAGUUUUACAUUUGUAUUUUUUUGAAAGAAUUAUUUCAUAUUUAAUACACAUACACUUUUACAUUAUUUUAAAUAUCUAUACCUCCUCCCUCAUUGAUAAGUUUAGUCUAGCUGGGUACCACAUUUAUGGAUCCUGAAGGGUGCCUAACCCUUUUUCUUCCGGAUAACUUGAACCCUUACGUAGAAUCUCAAUUGUUUUUUCGCAGACUAAAUACAUCAAUCAUACGUGUUAAUAAAUAAAAAGGUUUCCUUAUUUUCUUUUAAAAAUUAGGUGGCGACUCUGUACAAAUUUUAAUUCUUUUAGAGUCCAAUAAGUCAUGUUUUGUUUAACCUCGACAAAAACAAGGCAUAACAAUACAUUUUUUCGAUUUUAAAUUUGUCAGAAUAUAUAAUACAUUCAACAAAGACACAUUUUUUCUUUAUAAAUAUACAUAAUUAACUUUCAUUAUAUUUUAUAAAUAUAUCAGCUUUUCGAUACAUUCCAUACAUAAUUAGUUGAAAUUUUUAUAAUUAUCUUCUACUAAUAAAAUUUUGGAUAAAUAUGAUGAAUUAAAGUGUUAUUUACACGGAAAAUUAUUUUUAAAGUUUGAACCAAUUUGCUUUCUCCUUCAGGAGAAAAUAUUUCCUCCGUCCUAUUUUAU
This 1841-nucleotide long non-coding RNA is filed under the name Capsicum annuum. RNAcentral describes it as "long non-coding RNA (CANN_LNC000559)". The record is from RNAcentral. Lineage: Eukaryota; Viridiplantae; Streptophyta; Magnoliopsida; Solanales; Solanaceae.